Molecule: long non-coding RNA, 27185 nt
Filed under: Brassica napus (rape)
Lineage: Eukaryota; Viridiplantae; Streptophyta; Magnoliopsida; Brassicales; Brassicaceae
Description: long non-coding RNA (BNAP_LNC025263)
Rfam family: U2 spliceosomal RNA (bases 2165-2360)
Source: RNAcentral
CCAUGGCUAUCAGUACCACAGUUUGGAGACUGGGAUCAGAAAGGAGGAACCAUUCCUGACUACUCAAUGGAUUUCACAAAGAUCAGAGAGAUGAGGAAACAGAACAAGAGAGAUCUUUCUCGAGCCAGUCUUGGCAACGAAGAAGACCUCAUUAACCCUUUUCAUAACCAACCUACUUCAGUUGAUAAUACGAAGCCUAAACUCACGACUGUUCACAGCGACAACAACAGAACCAACACUGAGUUCUCUCACCACCAGCCACUUUCUCCAUCUGUAAGAGAUUUCAAUUUUUUUUGUUGAUAACUGAAUGAUUGAUUGUGUUCAGGAUCAGUUCUGUGCCAUUAAUAUAGGCUAUCGAAUAUAACUUUGUAGUAAUUUGGUUACACAAUGUUUGUUCUAUAUAGUUGAUCAUGUGUUUAUAUUAAUUGAGUUACAUGCAUACACUUGAAUUUCCCAUCUUAACAUUCAUUUUUUCUUGCUGUGGGUGUAUAUGAUCUAGAUGAUUGAUUGUGUCUUCAAACCGUUAGGUAGGUGUAUGUAAUUUAGUUAGGUUGUGGAAUCUAGCUUUGUAACUUUAUAUGGUUAGAUGUUGGGUCACACAUUGUUUGUUCUACUUUACCUUUUUCAAAAUUGCAGACUUUUUCUUUUAGAUUUUGACUGAGUUGUGUCUAUGUGAAUUGGAUGAUUGUGUAUUUUGGAUUAUAGCUGUGUGUGUUCAUUUGAUGUGCGCCUUACCUUCUUGGGUUGAUUAUCUAACUUUGUAAGCAUUAUAUGGCUUCUUCUAGCAAUUGGGUGAAUGUGGUCCCUCGGUGUUUGGUCUAAGUUAAGUUGCUAGCUGCUAUUUAUAUAUACACAUGAUAUUAACACCCCCACCAAACUUCAUAGAGUAGAUUUUGUGUUUAUAUUAGAUCUGGAGCAUGAUUGGGUAUGGUUGAGGGGGUUUACAUGGUUAUAGAAUCACAUCAAAGAAAUAACUAUAUAGUUCUUGUAAUGGUUUCUUUUAAUCAAAGUAAAGCAUAAUCCUUUACAAGAAAAAUGUGUGGCUUAUAAACUUUUGUGACCUACCACGUGAACUGCACAGACGAGGAGAGGAAUCUUCAGCUGCUUCAACUGCUGCGUUAAAGCUUGAAGGUUUUUUUUUAUAAUAGAGACGACGAUGAGAUGAAUCUUCAGCUGUUUCGAUUAUUUAUAAUAAUGAAGUGUAAUGGUAGAGUGAAACCAUUACACUUAUAUUUUUCUGCGGAAGCAGUAAAGUAUUAAUCAAGUUUGUCUGCCGUUUACUGUUAUCUUCCAGUGUCUAACUAUGUUUUUGGUAUUAAUUUGAAGUGUAGUUUAACUUUCCCAGAGAUUGAUGUUUUCAGUAUUGUGUAAUGCAGAGUAGAUUCUUUUGUACUUACUUUGAAUUGCGUUUGCCAUCUCUAACUAUCUAAGUAUCUGAUAAUCAAAACACAUAAGAUACGUUUACUACAAUCAUCCUCGUAAAGUCUUAAACUACCUUAACUAAGCUUAUUGGAGGCUAUAGUGUAAAUAGAGAAGUCACACUAAGAAAGAUGUACAUGUCCUCGUCUAUUUCUGAUGAAAACGAUUAUGAACAGUGAACAUUGAAAUUGAAUCAACAAAGUUGAUAUGGCCGAGUUGGUCUAAGGCGCCAGAUUAAGGUUCUGGUCCGAAAGGGCGUGGGUUCAAAUCCCACUGUCAACAGUUUUUUUUUUUUUUUCAUUACUCGUUAAAACAGAUCUUAUUAGUUACUACUGAUUCCACUUAUAAGGCUAUAACCCGUCGAUCUAAACCUCUCCUUUUGUUACUGGUCCAAAGUCAUCAAAGUAAAAUACAAAGCUUUACGGACAAGAUCUUAUCACAGGUUUUUGAAGAGAUACAGACUAUAACAAACUUGCUUUGAAGAUCGUGUGGCUGAAAGAACGAAACAAGAUAAGAUAAUGCUUUUUAGAUUCCCAGAGUUUGCAUUCGUUAGAACCCAUCAACUAUGAUCAGUGGGGGAAAAGUCGAAAACAAAAACGAAGUAAUUAAGUAAAAAGAGGUUAUUUUCGGAAUAACCGGUAGGCGGUUGUUUUGUGUUACGUUUUCUCCUCCCACAUCGGUUAGCUAGAAAAAGUUAGAUCUUCUAGCAAGUAUAAAUAAGAGGCCGUGUCACAUCGUUCAAUUUAUACCUUUCUCGGCCUUUUGGCUAAGAUCAAGUGUAGUAUCUGUUCUUAUCAGUUUAAUAUUUGAUAUAUGGGUCAUCGGCCCAUACGAUGUUAACUAUAUUUUUUCAGGGGGGAAGCCCAUCAAGAUAGCUUGCUAUCUGGGCUUUCGGGAGUUGCCCUUGCGUUGCACUACUGCACGGGCCUGGCUCAACCCAUCAAUCAAAUAGUCCAAUUUUUUUGUGUUUACUCCGAAAAGCACUGGUUCGUAUUUAGUUACAUGCCUGUUAGGGGUAAUAGGGCAUGUUUUGUUCUAAGGAAUACUGGUCACGGGUUGGCUAUGUUUGUAACUCGAAAAAGAGUAAUUGGGCCUUUAGUGAUAGCCCUAUAAGUUGGACGACGAGAGCAGAUCCUAUAUCAUUCAAAGCCCAUCACAUUGUAUAUAUUGACUUGUUUUCCUAUUAUGUUCAAAGUCUUGAAAUUUAGAUUUUUUUAUUGUUUUUACUUUUUACUAAUUUAAGUAUUUAUCAAAUUGUACGAUUUGAAAAUGGUCAAUUAUAUACUAUCAACGUGUUUAACAUAUAAGUAAAAUAAAUUGUUAUUAAUCUAUUUCAACCACUGGUAACUUUUGUACUUACUAAGUUAAAAUUAUUGUUAGGUUAAUGUUUAUACUUUAUACUGUGCAAUUUUUUCGACAUUGGUUAAUUUAAAAAUGUUUUUAAAUUCAGUGGAACCUAUCGUCUUGAAAAUUUUACCCACUGCUCUUGAAUGACAACUACGAUAAUUAAUGCUAUUUUGCUAAAAAGAGGAUAUUGCAGUUAAGGGAGUGGAGGACCACUCUUUAGAAAUGUUCCGACUGAGGAAAGCUAAUCGGAGGGUGGUCCGUGGUCCCUCGAUGCAUUUCAAAUUAGUGAUCAUCGGGCCAUCGCAAUAAAGUUUGUAUGCUUUGGACCAUUGUCUUGAUGGAUAAUCAAGAGAGAUGAAAGGUAAUAUCAUCACACAUCACACAAUACUCUGAUACAAGCCUUUUUUUUCCCUUAAAAGUCAAUGAAAAUUUCACAUUCUUUUCGAAAGCUCUUUCCAAGUCAGAUUUGGCAGAUGCUAUUGUGUGUAUAAUACAAUGCUAGACUUUUAAUGUUCUCAAAGCGUUAAAAAAUAAAAACUCCAGUUUUUGUUUGUUGGUCUUUAAUAAUUAGUCACUUAGUUUAGCGAAUUGAUCGUGACCUGUGAGUCUUGGUCAAAUAAAUAUCCCUCUUGUAAAUAAUUGACAACAAAAAAGAAAGCUUAAACCAUAGCUGCUACCACUAUUUUUUCAAGUAUAGUUUGAUAAUGAUGCAAUCAUGUAAUGUAUAAUAUGCUUGAGGGUCUGGAUCAUGAUUUAUUACAAUUUGCAGAGACCAAAUUACAAUUUGCAUAGUCAAAGCCUUUAUAUAUGUACCAUCAUCAUUUUUCAGGGUAAAACAUGUCUGCCGUAGUUGUGUUACAUAGUCAAGCUUUUUAAUACUAUAGUUUUUUUUUCUGAAUCAAGUUGUACCUACCAUCUUCGCAGUUACUCCCACUGGUCGAUAUUCAAUAUAAAAAACAAUUGAUGCUAGAUAUAUUGAAACAACUAAACACACUUGAUGAAGGACUUAGUCAGAGACACGAUUCUAAGAUGAAAUUGUGAUUAUCAUCUCUACAAAGCAUUAAAAACACACACACCCAAAAGCUUAAAAUAAAUGUUAAAAAGCACUCUUGAAACUCUCAACCGUUAUGUUGUUGAACCUGAAGUUACUGUCUGGACUCAGCUCCACGUAGUGUACCAAUCCAAGCAGGUGGCUGCAUCCCGGUCUGCUCAUAAACCGUAUCAAGAACCGGUGGCAACAUCUUGUAGAGUCCAGCAAUUUCCUUCAUACCACCACUACCCAUCCCCUGAUCAACACCAGCACCACCACCUUGGUUCCACACACUGAUCUUAGGCUGCAAGUCCCUGAUGGCCAAAGCAUUGGUCUUGGCGAUAUCCUGAUAAACCCCAUUGUUGAUCAUCAAAAAGUCCCUCAUCGCCGAGUAGUCAUUGUCAACCGCGUCCAGGAGAGUCUUGAUGUAAGUCCCUUGAGCAGUGGCCAUGGCCACAAGCCCAUCCGCAUCUCUCUGUUUAGCAUAGAAGGAAGCAUCAGCUGCAGCUUUAGUAGCCUCCGCUUGCUUCUGCUUCUCGUAAAGAACAGCUUCUGCCUUCUUCUGCUUGUCAGGAUCAGUUCUGUGCCAUUAAUAUAGGCUAUCGAAUAUAACUUUGUAGUAAUUUGGUUACACAAUGUUUGUUCUAUAUAGUUGAUCAUGUGUUUAUAUUCAUUAAGUUACAUGCAUACACUUGAAUUUCCCAUCUUAACAUUCAUUUUUUCUUGAUGUGGGUGUAUAUGAUCUAGAUGAUUGAUAGUGUCUUCAAACCGUUAGGUAGGUGUAUGUAAUUUAGUUAGGUUGUGGAAUCUAGCUUUGUAACUUUAUAUGGUUAGAUGUUGGGUCACACAUUGUUUGUUCUACUUUACCUUUUUCAAAAUUGCAGACUUUUUCUUUUAGAUUUUGACUGAGUUGUGUCUAUGUGAAUUGGAUGAUUGUGUAUUUUGGAUUAUAGCUGUGUGUGUUCAUUUGAUGUGCGCCUUACCUUCUUGGGUUGAUUAUCUAACUUUGUAAGCAUUAUAUGGCUUCUUCUAGCAAUUGGGUGAAUGUGGUCCCUCGGUGUUUGGUCUAAGUUAAGUUGCUAGCUGCUAUUUAUAUAUACACAUGAUAUUAACACCCCCACCAAACUUCAUAGAGUAGAUUUUGUGUUUAUAUUAGAUCUGGAGCAUGAUUGGGUAUGGUUGAGGGGGUUUACAUGGUUAUAGAAUCACAUCAAAGAAAUAACUAUAUAGUUCUUGUAAUGGUUUCUUUUAAUCAAAGUAAAGCAUAAUCCUUUACAAGAAAAAUGUGUGGCUUAUAAACUUUUGUGACCUACCACGUGAACUGCACAGACGAGGAGAGGAAUCUUCAGCUGCUUCAACUGCUGCGUUAAAGCUUGAAGGUUUUUUUUUAUAAUAGAGACGACGAUGAGAUGAAUCUUCAGCUGUUUCGAUUAUUUAUAAUAAUGAAGUGUAAUGGUAGAGUGAAACCAUUACACUUAUAUUUUUCUGCGGAAGCAGUAAAGUAUUAAUCAAGUUUGUCUGCCGUUUACUGUUAUCUUCCAGUGUCUAACUAUGUUUUUGGUAUUAAUUUGAAGUGUAGUUUAACUUUCCCAGAGAUUGAUGUUUUCAGUAUUGUGUAAUGCAGAGUAGAUUCUUUUGUACUUACUUUGAAUUGCGUUUGCCAUCUCUAACUAUCUAAGUAUCUGAUAAUCAAAACACAUAAGAUACGUUUACUACAAUCAUCCUCGUAAAGUCUUAAACUACCUUAACUAAGCUUAUUGGAGGCUAUAGUGUAAAUAGAGAAGUCACACUAAGAAAGAUGUACAUGUCCUCGUCUAUUUCUGAUGAAAACGAUUAUGAACAGUGAACAUUGAAAUUGAAUCAACAAAGUUGAUAUGGCCGAGUUGGUCUAAGGCGCCAGAUUAAGGUUCUGGUCCGAAAGGGCGUGGGUUCAAAUCCCACUGUCAACAGUUUUUUUUUUUUUUUCAUUACUCGUUAAAACAGAUCUUAUUAGUUACUACUGAUUCCACUUAUAAGGCUAUAACCCGUCGAUCUAAACCUCUCCUUUUGUUACUGGUCCAAAGUCAUCAAAGUAAAAUACAAAGCUUUACGGACAAGAUCUUAUCACAGGUUUUUGAAGAGAUACAGACUAUAACAAACUUGCUUUGAAGAUCGUGUGGCUGAAAGAACGAAACAAGAUAAGAUAAUGCUUUUUAGAUUCCCAGAGUUUGCAUUCGUUAGAACCCAUCAACUAUGAUCAGUGGGGGAAAAGUCGAAAACAAAAACGAAGUAAUUAAGUAAAAAGAGGUUAUUUUCGGAAUAACCGGUAGGCGGUUGUUUUGUGUUACGUUUUCUCCUCCCACAUCGGUUAGCUAGAAAAAGUUAGAUCUUCUAGCAAGUAUAAAUAAGAGGCCGUGUCACAUCGUUCAAUUUAUACCUUUCUCGGCCUUUUGGCUAAGAUCAAGUGUAGUAUCUGUUCUUAUCAGUUUAAUAUUUGAUAUAUGGGUCAUCGGCCCAUACGAUGUUAACUAUAUUUUUUCAGGGGGGAAGCCCAUCAAGAUAGCUUGCUAUCUGGGCUUUCGGGAGUUGCCCUUGCGUUGCACUACUGCACGGGCCUGGCUCAACCCAUCAAUCAAAUAGUCCAAUUUUUUUGUGUUUACUCCGAAAAGCACUGGUUCGUAUUUAGUUACAUGCCUGUUAGGGGUAAUAGGGCAUGUUUUGUUCUAAGGAAUACUGGUCACGGGUUGGCUAUGUUUGUAACUCGAAAAAGAGUAAUUGGGCCUUUAGUGAUAGCCCUAUAAGUUGGACGACGAGAGCAGAUCCUAUAUCAUUCAAAGCCCAUCACAUUGUAUAUAUUGACUUGUUUUCCUAUUAUGUUCAAAGUCUUGAAAUUUAGAUUUUUUUAUUGUUUUUACUUUUUACUAAUUUAAGUAUUUAUCAAAUUGUACGAUUUGAAAAUGGUCAAUUAUAUACUAUCAACGUGUUUAACAUAUAAGUAAAAUAAAUUGUUAUUAAUCUAUUUCAACCACUGGUAACUUUUGUACUUACUAAGUUAAAAUUAUUGUUAGGUUAAUGUUUAUACUUUAUACUGUGCAAUUUUUUCGACAUUGGUUAAUUUAAAAAUGUUUUUAAAUUCAGUGGAACCUAUCGUCUUGAAAAUUUUACCCACUGCUCUUGAAUGACAACUACGAUAAUUAAUGCUAUUUUGCUAAAAAGAGGAUAUUGCAGUUAAGGGAGUGGAGGACCACUCUUUAGAAAUGUUCCGACUGAGGAAAGCUAAUCGGAGGGUGGUCCGUGGUCCCUCGAUGCAUUUCAAAUUAGUGAUCAUCGGGCCAUCGCAAUAAAGUUUGUAUGCUUUGGACCAUUGUCUUGAUGGAUAAUCAAGAGAGAUGAAAGGUAAUAUCAUCACACAUCACACAAUACUCUGAUACAAGCCUUUUUUUUCCCUUAAAAGUCAAUGAAAAUUUCACAUUCUUUUCGAAAGCUCUUUCCAAGUCAGAUUUGGCAGAUGCUAUUGUGUGUAUAAUACAAUGCUAGACUUUUAAUGUUCUCAAAGCGUUAAAAAAUAAAAACUCCAGUUUUUGUUUGUUGGUCUUUAAUAAUUAGUCACUUAGUUUAGCGAAUUGAUCGUGACCUGUGAGUCUUGGUCAAAUAAAUAUCCCUCUUGUAAAUAACCAUUGACAACAAAAAAAGCUUAAACCAUAGCUGCUACCACUAUUUUUUCAAGUAGUUUGAUAAUGAUGCAAUCAUGUAAUGUAUAAUAUUCAUGAGGGUCUAGAUCAUAAUAAUAUGCCCGAGGGUCUAGAUCAUGAUUUAUUACAAUUUGCAGAGACCAAAUUACAAUUUGCAUAGUCAAAGCCUAUAUAUAUAUAUAUAUAUAUGUAUGUAUAUGUAUGUAUCAUUAUUUUUCAAAGUAAAACAUGUCUGCCGUAGUUGUGUAACAUAGUCAAGCUUUUUAAAUAGUUUUUUUUAUCUGAAUCAGUUGUACCUACAAUCUUCGCAGUUACACCCACUGGUCGAUAUUCAAUUAAAAAAACAAUUGAUGCUGGAUAUAUUGAAAUAAUUAAACACACUUGAUGAAAGACUUAGUCAUAGACACGAUUCUAAGAUGAAAUUGUGAUUAUCAUCUCUACAAAGCAUUAAAAAAACACACCCAAAAGCUUAAAAUAAAUGUUAAAAAGCACUCUUGAAACUCUCAACCGUUAUGUUGUUGAACCCGAAGUUACUGUCUGGACUCAGCACCACGUAGUGUACCAAUCCAAGCAGGUGGCUGCAUCCCGGUCUGCUCAUAAACCGUAUCAAGAACCGGUGGCAACAUCUUGUAGAGUCCAGCAAUUUCCUUCAUACCACCACUACCCAUCCCCUGAUCAACACCAGCACCACCACCUUGGUUCCACACACUGAUCUUAGGCUGCAAGUCCCUGAUGGCCAAAGCAUUGGUCUUGGCGAUAUCCUGAUAAACCCCAUUGUUGAUCAUCAAAAAGUCCCUCAUCGCCGAGUAGUCAUUGUCAACCGCGUCCAAGAGAGUCUUGAUGUAAGUCCCUUGAGCAGUGGCCAUGGCCACAAGCCCAUCCGCAUCUCUCUGUUUAGCAUAGAAGGAUGCAUCAGCUGCAGCUUUAGUAGCCUCCGCUUGCUUCUGCUUCUCGUAAAGAACAGCUUCUGCCUUCUUCUGCUUGUCAUACAGCUCCCAGUUAGCUUCUUGCACCUUGGUCUCAUACUCAACAGUGGCUUUGCUGAGGAACUCGGCUUUGAGCUUCUCCGUCCGAGUCAAAGCAUUCAUCUUCUCGACUUGCGUCUGAAGCUCAGCUUCCCUCAUAGCAACGGCCUUGCCAGCUUCAACCUCAGCCACACGAGAGUUUUUGGUCAAAGCAGCCUUCUGAAUCGCGAGUGCUGCAUCAGCGUGAGCGACGAGAGCCUCCUUCUCGUUCUGAAACACUUGGACCUCGGUCUUCACCUUGAUCUCCUCCUUUGUCCCUUCUCCUAGCCUCUGAGUUGCGAUGAUCUUCGACUCAGCGUCGAUCUUGGCUGCGUUCUGGAUGGUGAGACCGGUACGUUCUUUAGCACCGACCUCUCCCUUCAUCUUAGCCUCGGCGACAUCGAUCUUGGCUUGGUUAGCUGCUUCCAUCUGAGUCUUCUGACCCAAGUAAGAGAAGUACUCAUGUCCAGGGACAUCAACGAGCUGCUUCACGUUGGCGUUGUAGAUCACAAGACCAAACUGGUUUAGCUCAAGUUGAACCUUCUCAAACACUUCCUGCUUAAACUCCUUUGUUCCUACGAAAAAAAAAACACAAUAAUCAAACUUCAAGAGGCAAAUCAGCGAAAAGAAUAUUAUAAACAAUUUAGUAAGAAUUUAUAUAAUUAAAAUUCUUUAACAAAAAUAAUUAAAUAAUAAAAAAAUAAAAAAUAAAAUUGGGGAUUUCACUAGCCUAUGUUCAAGACUUGCCACGCAAGCAAGAUACAAAUCUAGGGUUUCAAGAUUUGUAUCUGGUGAUUUUACCUUUGAAGACCUCUUCCAUGGUCAUGGAGGCGACGAGGACACGAGUCUCUCCUUCGAUAACACCCUGAACAAGCUCGUUGACGUGGUUAGAGUGCUUGUCGUGCUGAGACAUAAGCAUGGCGUACAACAAGAGAGCGUGAGGGUCAUCGACGCGUGGACCGAUGGUGAACACGGCGGGGAUAACAAAGGGGAGUUUCUCGGAACUCAUGGCUUGGACCUCGAAGGUGUAGUUGACCGGAGAGACGUCGAAGACGGUACAAGAUUGCCAUGGAAAGACCCACGACUUCUUGGCGAGUUUGAUGUCUUUGAUCCCACCACCGGUGAUGGCGAGGUACUGCGAUGCUCUUGCGACUUUGUAACUCAUUCUUCUUUGAAACUUGUUAGGUUUGUUUGUGUAUGUAUGUGUGUAGAGAGAGGUAUCAUAAGACGCAAGUACUUAUAUAAGAGUUCUUAAUAUAUACGCGUAAUUAGGAAAAAUGGAAAAUAAUACUCGGAAACAAACAAAUUAUUAUUAUUAAUUUCCUUUUCUUUAUCUCCAAGUUUACAAUUUAGUGAUCUACAUGUAUUAUAUGUUUGCUUUUUUUGGGUCAAAGUCUACUAAAUAAAUUGUUAUUAUACGAUAAAUCCAUGUAUAUUUAUUGAUAAAUAUCAAUGGUGUUUAAUGUUUAUCUUUGACUUUUUUAUUAAAGUAUAAUAUUCCAUCGAUUCCCAAAAAACAAGUUUUAGAUUUUUUACUCAUAUUAAAAUAAUAUAUUGUUGACAAAAAAAAUUACAAUACUAAAUUAAUUUGUGAUUAUCAAAUGCAUUACUUUUUCUAAUUAAUUAUUUUCUUACAUUUUAACCAAUAUAAUAUAAUAAACACAAUUUUUUUGAAGUUUACAUUUUAUCAUUAAAUAGUGCAUUAAAAAAAUAUUUUAACCGAAAAAUAUAAAAAAUAUUCUUCUAAAACAUAGAUAUUUUGGAAUGGAAAGAAUAUUUAUAAAAAAAGAUUGAAAGAAUAAUUAAAUAAAAGAUAUAUUAUGGUUUAUGGUUGAUAUAUUGGUGAAGCAUCCAAGAAACUCCGGAACAUCUUUUAAAUAUUCGUAAAGAAUACUCAUAUAUGACAUAUCCGAACAAGCUGUAUUCUAUAUGGGAUUUCAGUUUAUUUUCUUCUCAAUACCCACAGAUUGUGUAUGACUAGUUUUUAAUUAAAAAUAGAGAAAUAAAGGAUAACUAUUAGCUAAAUUUGUCGUUGAAUUGAAUAAAUAUUGAAUUCAGGAACUCACCAGUAGUCAUAUCCAUCCAUAUCUGAAAAAACACAAGACGAGUUUCUCAUAACUAAUCAAAUGCAAUCGCUAAUUAAAAAUUAAACAUACUAACAACUUACAUAAAAUCACGGGAAAAUCGUAAACGACAUACAACGAUGGCGUGUUUUUUUUCCAACAUUUUAACAAAUCAACGUGCUACACGUGGACUACCAACUAAAGCAAGCCGUUAUUUUCAGGAGAAAGGAAGGAUCACAGCUCCGUCGCUUUAUCUAUCCACCCACCCACCCACCCAAUAUCUCGUCGUCUUUCCGUUGAUCAUCAUCUUCUUCCCAACAAUCAAUCAAUCAAAAGAGAGAGAGAGAGAGUCUCUCGUGGAUUCAGAAUCUCUCCUUCGGUCAAAUUCAUAUUCUUCCUCUCUCUCUAUAUAUAUAUAUAUUGGAGUUUCUGAUGGUAGACAGCUAUAGUAACCUCUCGUGGCUCGUAUGGAUCCAAAUGUUCGUCUUCUUCCUCCUCCUCUGCGUCUUCGGAUUGUUAUCCUCAGAUGUCAGCGAGAGCAGUGUCUCAUCUUCCGAUUCACUUCCUUCUACGUCCGCCUCUGGGAGGUUUCUUGCUGGAGAUCCGAUCCCGAUCAGCCACCACCGUGGCUUGGGGUUCUCCGUAGUACAGUCUAAUCAGGUAAACUCUUAAUGCUUCCCCGUUGACUUGCUGUUUUUUUUUUUUGUAAUGUGUGUUCCAAUUGAGAUAUAUGAUCUGAAAUCGAAUCUUUAGGGGUUAGAUUGUAAUUUACGAAAAUAGCAGAGCCAGGAUUAGCUGCAUUAGAAUGUAAUGCCCAGCGAGCUCACGUUGAAGGUUUCUGAUCUUAUCGAUGUUCAUUCUGGCCAAUGGAUAGUGCCACGUGUUAGAGAGACGUUUAGUCCUGAUGAUGUGCGACUUGUCCUCAACACCAAGAUCAACCCCUCACGUCACGAUAAUACGAUCUGGUGCUUCACAAAAAGUGGACAAUAUUCGUCGAAGAGCGGCUACAAACUCCUCGUGGACUUACAGGAGAUGAACUCUCCUUUCCCAGCCUUGCCCCCCAUUGAAAAACAGCUCUGGUCUGAUCUAUGGAGAACAAAAACAUCCCCUAAACUCAGACAUUUUCUGUGGCGCGCUCUAUCUGGAGCUUUGGCGGUGAAGGAAAGAUUACGUACUAGAGGCAUCCACCUUGACACUACAUGUGUAUCUUGUGGGUCUGCGUCAGAAUCUAUUUGUCAUGUUCUAUUCCAGUGUAGGUUUGCGCAGGAAGUAUGGUCUCUAUCCGGUAUUCCUCCUCCUACUGCUGGCUACUCUCAGACAUCGAUGUUCUUAAACCUUUUCCAUCUCUUGAAGUGUAGCAGAAACCCGUCCCUCCCCUUGGGUGUGCGUCUCGCUUUUCCAUGGGUCCUAUGGCAUAUAUGGAAAGCUAGAAAUGGCUUUAUCUUUGAGCAUGUGAGAAUGGAGCCUUCCCUGGUUCUAUCUCGAGCUAUGGAAGAAGCGGGUAUGUGGCUUACUGUUAACUCAUGUGUUGAGUCGACUGCAACCCCUGCUGUGGCACCUACAAUUGAGACACCUAAGAGAACCUGGUCCAAACCUCCCCGAGGUUUGCUUAAGUGCAAUGUUGGAACCUCUUGGCAACCUAGCAAUCUUGGUAGUGGUGCGUCUUGGAUUGUCAGAGAUGAGAUAGGUAAUCCUGUGAUACAUAGCAGAAGAGCUUUCUCUGGUGUUCUUUCUGAGUUGGAAGCUUCGCUUCGCUCUCUUGCGUGGUCGAUCAUGGCGCUUUCUGAUCUCCACCUUGACAAAGUGAUCAUCGAGUUCUCAUGUGUUAUGAUGGCGGAAGCCCUGCUAAACCCUACUAAGUUUCCUGAGGUCCAGUACUUAAUUCAAGAAACUUUGCAAUCUCUCCAUCGUUUCUCAACCUAUACUUUGAAUCAUGUUGAACCGGAGAAGAACAGAGUGGCUAAACUCAUUGCAGUGAGUGUCACCAAGGAUCAACGAUAUCAAUCGUAUGUGGCUCAAGGAGGCCCUGCUUGGUUGGCUCACACCAUUCAAAGAGAGGCCCUGCCUCAUGAUCUAUAGCCCCUAACAGGUGGCUCUGUGAUCUCUACGGGUGUGCGAAUAAUCGCCUUUUAAGCACCUACUGGUGUCUUUUCCCUUUGCUGUUUUUUUUAACUUUAUGUCUCUACUCUCUAUUGUUUCUUUGUUCUUCCUCCCAAUCCUCUUAUGUGAGGUGUGUGUUACAUUUUUGGAGGUUUCUCUUUAUAAUUUGAAUACAACCAGCGUCAAAAAAAAAAAAACUCUUUCCGUUCCUAAAAGAUCCAUGUUUUAGAAUUUUCAUAUUUUUUAAUAAAACAUAUUAAAACUUAGGUAUAAAUGCAUAGUUUUUUGUAAUUUUAUAUUUUCUAUAUUUUUAAACCAAUAAAAUUUUAAGAAAUGCAAUUAAUGUUCUUGAACUUCACAAUUUCUCAUUAUUAAUUGACAAAAAAUAUAUUGAAAAUAAAAAAUAUAAUCUUUUCGAAACAAAAGUUUUCUCUAGAAUAUGGAUCUAUUAGGGACGGAGGGAGUACGAUCGUUUCUCAAUAACAAGAAACAAUGACGUAAUUAGAUAUAGGCUUCCUAUAAAAAAAACCGGAGUAGAUUUGAUUUAUAAGUUUUUUGAAAACAUACCGAUGCGUUAUGCUUGACCAAAUAUAUAAAUCUUUUUUUUUUUUAACAUCUGCAUUAGAUUAGAUACGAUAGCCUUUGUUCUAUAUCGCUUUAACGAAAGUUAGGCCAAACAAAUCGAUAAAGUUUAUCACAAUAUCUAUGAAAAUAUAAUUACAUUUUCAAGAAUUCAAUAAGUCAAAUCUUAUUGUCUUGGUGUGCACUGUAAAGUACAGAAAGUCCUGUCUGUUUCAGACGCAGCAGAAGCAAACAUACAACUUGCAUCUUCAGCCGUCGAUCUGCAAACCAAAAUCCAAAUAUUCACGUUACCGAGCACUAACGUUAAGGUGGACCGUAACGUAGGUGAUAACAUCUCUAGAAGCAAAACUCAUUACUUUGAAAGUGGAAGCUCACUUUUCACCACCCUGCCGUCGCUCCUUACGUCAUUUUGAUGACGUAAUCGUUCUCUUCUUUCCACACGUGGCCUUGAAGCACCUUCCUAGUAUCUACCCUGAAAUUGCUUGUCAUUAGUAAAUGUUUAUUAAUCUUAUCUCUUACUUAAUUAUCUUUCUUUAUAAAUGUUUAAAAAAGAUUCGUACAUAAAUAUACUAAAGAUAUAUUAUAUAUAUAUGCAUAUAAAUAAACGACCAUUCAUCUCUGUCUCCCCUUCUUCACUUGCUGUACUAGUUCUUAGAUGCUUUAAGAUCUCUCUGUCUUUCAAUUUUUUUUUGGUAUUUAAAAAGAAAGAAAAAUGAAUAUUUCCCAAAACCCUAGCCCUAAUUUCCCCUUCUUCUCCGAUGAAAACUUUAUUAAUCCUUUCAUGGAUAAUUUCGAUUUCACGGAUUUGAUCUUCGAUGUUAAUGAAGGAGGCAACAAUAAUGGAUUCAUCCAGGAGGAAACUUCAUCUCCUAUAAGCAUCGUUUCAUCGGAGACAUUUACCGGCGAAAGCGGUGGAUCCGGCAGCGGAAUAACGACGUCAAGUAAAAAGGAACCAACGUGAGUUUUAGUUAUAUUUGUUGGCUAGAUUCUUCUUAACCAAAACUUUAUCAACUUUAUUAAUAUAUAACAAUUUGUUUUAAUAGUUUUGGAUGCAAAAGUAGGGGAAGUAAAGACGGCGAGACGAAGGAGAUGGGCCAUAGAGUUGCAUUUAGAACGAGAUCAAAGAUUGAUGUGAUGGAUGAUGGUUAUAAAUGGAGGAAAUAUGGGAAGAAAUCUGUGAAGAACAACACAAACAAGAGGUAAUCAAUGAUCAAAAAGUUGAAUAACUCGUUUCAUUUAAUUAUUGAAUGAUAAUAUCUCAAGUAGUUGUUUAUUAAAAGUUAACAUAUGGGUUGCUUGAUCAUUUUCUAUCAUCAUCUUGUAAUCCUAUUGGUAUACUAGAAUAUAUUCCACUAAUUAACUAGAACAUAUAGUGAUUUGAAAACUGUUUAAUGGUCCCGUAUUAGUUACCAACCCACUAGUAUUAAAAAAGAAACAGAUUCCACAUGCAUCCUUGUCUACGUUUUGUGUUUAUAUAUAUAUAUAUUCAUAUGUUUCUGAUUGAAAAGAGGUAAAUUCACUAAUCCAUGGCUGGGAAGCAUUCAGCAUAUAGAUCUUAUUUUGACUUAUAUCAUUGAAGAAACAAAACAAAUCGCCCACAUGUAUCUUGAAAACACAUUUUAGUGAUCAGUCUCGGCUAUGCAGUUUAUUAUUGGUGGGAAAUUUAUUAAAGUAAUUAAAACUAAUGAAUGUGAAUAUAUGUAUAUAGGAAUUACUACAAAUGCUCAAAUGAAGGUUGCACGGUGAAGAAGAGAGUAGAGAGAGAUGGUGAGGAUGCAGCUUAUGUGAUUACAACAUAUGAUGGAGUGCAUAACCAUGAGAGUCCCUCACAUGUCUAUUACAAUGACAUGGUUUUGUCAUAUGAUCAUGAUAAUUGGAACCAACACUCUCUUCUUGAAGCUAUCCAACAAAUAUCUCCUCCAUACUGAGAUUAUUAGAUAACUACCAUCGUCAUAAUCUCAAUGUAUUAUUGCCUUGUGUAAUAAUAAAAAGUUCGUUAUAUCGCUUAUAACUGUAUUGAUAUAAUGUAAAUGGUUAUGAAACCUUUUGUAGUUAUCUAGAUAUCAAAAUAUCAAUGUAUAUAUAGUUCAUAAUAUGCAGUGUUGUGCUUAGUUUUAUAAAAUGUCUAGAAUGAAUUUUCCUGGAUGUUAUUAACCGAUACAAAUCAUACCAAGUAUAUAUAUGUGUUAAAGAGUUAUCUCUUCUGGUAAUAAAGGUGGAAGAAGAAACCACUUGAGUGCGUACAAUAUCAUCGCUAGAGUUCUCAUCUUCUAUGUGUCUUUGAAAUAAACUACAUCGUAUCAAAAUGAGUUAUAGUUCAUAAGUUCACUCCGCUCAGGUCAAUUUUUCAUAAGCAUGAUCUCUGUUUUUAGGUUCAUUUAAUAAAUGAGAUUAAUGAUUGAGCUUAAAUUAGAUAACGAGUUAUAUGAGCAAUAUUUAAUGAUCUUGAGCUAACUCAUGAGGUUGGUCGCUUUUAUACUUUAUAUAUAUAUAUAUGACUUCUAUUUUUGUUAUGAAAGAAAAAAUAGUUUCUAUAUUAAUCGUAUUUAACUUCUAAAAUUAAAAUGUAAAACCAAAAAAUUAUAAAUAUAUACAAAAAUGUAAAAGAAUAUUGAUAUCAAUCCUCGUAUCAUAUAUCGUUAGGAUUAAAAUCUAAAACAAAAUAUUCCUAAGACUCUCAUGCAGAAUAUAUAUCUUUAUGAUUUGAAUAGAUGAAGACUUUGAAGAUGAAUCAUCUUAAGACUUGUAUGUGGAAUAAAUUUUUGGAUCACUAAUUUUGCUUUUAUUUAAUUUAUUAUUAGGUUUUGGUUUUAUUCAGUAUUUAAUAUUAAUGUUUUGGAUUUUUAGUAUUUAAUUUUUAAAUUAUAUUAUGAACAUUAUUUUAUUUUAUAUUUUAAUUUAUAAUUUUUAUUUUUAUAUUUGAUCGGGAGUUAGCUCAUUUAACUCAUGAUCUAGAUGAUCUGAGUUCGAGUUUACAUAUGGAAGCUCAUAUAAUAAAUGAGCUGAGCUGAGCUAGCUCAUGAAAGAUCCGAGCUCACUAUGAGUUGAGCUGAGUUGAGCGAGGUAGCUUAUUUUGACACCCCUACUCUUAACCGCUUCUCCUACCAUGGUAGUUGUCUACAAUCAUAAUAUGAGGGUUCUACUUAGCUACUCUAGAACACAAGCAGUAAUAACAAUUCUAAUGAAAUAUAUAUAAUUAUCACCUUAGCAAUUCUAUAGUUUUGGCUAAUCUUUCAUAACCCUAAUUAGCCCUAAAUCUAACAAUGUGGAUCUACUCAGACGUGAUCAAGCAAAGCAUGAUAAAUAACUGAAUAAAAUGCAUAAAACAGAAUAGGUAUGAAAAACUAGAGUUUCAUUACAAGCUCUAAAGGAGUCUUGGAUCUUCUCUCUAAACUACUAAAAACCUUAAAACUGUAUGGUGUGAAUGAAAGAAAAAAAGUGUGUGUCACCUAAUACAAUGGCAGAUCACUUAAAUAUUACGUUAAAGUCGACCAUGGGAAGUCUUGUAAAUAUGUGGAUCUUUGGCCGUAAGUCAGCUAGGAAUCAAGUCGGGUCUCUCGCGCUUCGAUGUCGAACGACGACAAGAGAUGUUUGUCGAUCGACGAUUGUCUCUGAAUGUCGACUCUGGCUGGCUCCUUGAACAGCUACUAGUUUCUUCUAUCUUUAGCUCCAAAAUGCUCCAUAACACCACAUUAUUCCAAAACAUACAUGAACCUGUAAAGACUCUAAAAAGACUCUUUUUUUUUAGCAACAUGAAGUCUUUAACAUACAUGAACCUGUAAAGACUCAAAAAAGACUCUAAAACAUAAUAAAUAGACUCUAAAAUAACUAUAUACCAUUGCUGAAAACUGGUAAAGUCAAUGAUAUAUCAACUCCUCCAUACUUACCAUUUUACUUGUCUUCAAGCACAACAUAGAGUAGUCUAUGAAAGAGGUUUAAGAACUCAGCAGGGAAUCACAUAAUUUAAAACCACUACUCUCACUUCUGCAUAUAUGAAUAGAUUGUAAUGAUUCAAUACUAACCUUAGAGAUGUUUCAAUGUACUACACUCUACCAUACAACACACAACUCCAUUAAUAUUGUCUGACAUACCCUUCUACUGACCUCAUUUCAGUAUAAACAUACAUGUAUAUGCUACAUCUUGGGAGUAUCGAUCACUGAACACAUGAAAUCAACUCAAGCAAGUAUGUGGACAACCAUGAAGUCUUUUCUGACUAUUUCCCUCUCUCUUCUCUCUUCUCUGAAUCUUAUUACCUCAAUUCCAAUGAACAAUGAUGCUGAUGCAAUCCAUCUUGCCCAUCUUUCGUUCGAUUAUAUAUAUAUAUAUAUAUAUACAAUGGUUUAAUUUUUUUUGUUCAAGUAAGAUACAAAUGAUCAUACAUCGUAGGGGUGAGCGUUCGGAUACCCGUUCGGGUUUGUAUCCGGUAUUUGGGAUUUUUGGGUAUUUCAGUAUAAUGGUAUAGAAACCGUUUGGGUAUUUCUACACUUCGGAUCAGGUUCGUUAUGUUCAGAUAUUUUGGAUCGGGUUACGAUAUUUAAAAUUUUAAAAAUAAAUAAAUAAAUUAUUCAUUGUUUGUGUUUUUUAUUUAAAAUAUGGUUUUCUAAUUUUUAAAAGAUUAAACUAUUCAUAUGUUUAGAGAUAAACUUUAAAUCGAAGUGAUCCUGACAAUCCAAAAAAAAACACUUCUUCAAAUCGAAGUGAUUUUUAAUAUUGGAAGCACUAUAUAUAUUAUUUCAUUCAGAUUAAAUAAUGGGCAAAGAAAAUGACCUAAAUAGCUCUUUUUUAUUUUGAAAUUUUUAAUUUUUUAUUUUUUAAAAUUUGAAACUCUAUCUUCAAAACCACACCCAUUAACUUUAAACUCUAAGUUUAGAGUAGUUAACCCUAGGGUAAAAAGCUAUCUUCAAAACCACACCCAUUAAAACUUAUUUUGGUCAUUUUUCUCAUUGAGAACUAUUUUGUGACAAAAACUUAAAAAAACUAUCAUAUGGAAUUCUCUUAAAUAAUUUAGUCUUGAUUUGUUUCUUAAAAAACUUUUAAUGAAAUAUCGUGACAAGAUUACAGUCACAUUCUUUUGAUUUUGUUCGAAGAAUGAGAAAUUUGAUCAUUCGUUUGAUAUUUGUUUCUCCCUAAUAUCCUAUAUAACUAUUAUAAUUGUAAGAAUGAGAGAUUUGAACUAUUUAUUAUAAAUUUUAUGGUUUAUCAUUUAAUAAAUCAAACAGUUCUUAGUUUAUAGUUUACAUAUACUAGAAUGGUAAAUUAUUAUAUAUUUUUUUAUCUAUAUACGUAACUAAACCUCAAAAGCAUAAGCUAAUAAAAUAAGUAAUUUUUUUUUGUUCUAGAAUUAGAUGAUUUUUAGACCAUACUGGUGAAUAUAUACUAGACAAACAUUUAUAUUUCGAGUCUGCACUUAUAUUCUAUAACUUGAUAUAUUAGAUUUGAACAUUUAUCUCUUAAUAGAGUUUCCCGGUGAUUUUCUUCAAAAUAUUGAUUCUUAGAUAUAUAUCUGAAGUGGAACUAAUUUUUACAAAUGUCUAUAUUUUUAAAUUAAUACUUAUAUAAUUCACCGAAUUCAUAGAAUUUUUUUUUUUUAAAGCACUAAAUUUAUAUCAAUGAUUCAGAGACGAGAACGAAAACACAAUUUUAUAGAGGUGAAAAAUGAGAUCACAUAUGGAGAUUCAAUAGUAAACAAAUCGAAAGCAGAAAACCUAAUACUCUUUUAUCAUUAUACAAUCGAUGAUGCCUAUCUAGUUUUGGUGAUUUGUGUCAAUCGCAAAACUUAAUUUUUUUUGUGUAUAUGAAGUUUUAAAAAUAAUUAAAAUGAACUGUAAUACAUUAAUUCUUCAACAACAAUGAUACAUUUAAGAGACCAACAUUUUUAUUCGUCAUUUUACGAUCGAUAAAAAUCGUAGUAUAACAAAAUCUUAAAAUUAUUUAAUGAACAAACAUUAUUAUAAAAACUCAGUUCGUUAACAUAAGUAUUUGUGGAAAAGCCCAUAUGCGACUCAGCGGUAGCUUUUCCGGUUCACAUAUGGAAAUUACUAUCCCGGUUGAAAUGACUCCGGUUUAUAAGAGAUUUAGUUUGAUCGGUUUGAUUUACGAUCCGGUUUUUCUGGGGUAAACUGUUAAACACAGGAAAGGAAGUCGUUUCAAUUGUUCUUCCGCCCAAAUCUGAAACACUAACUUGUUAGUAUUUUCCAAGGGAAUCUCUGAUCUCGAUCCAGAUUCAUUCGUGGAGGAAGACGACCGAACCCUACUUCAUUGAUUACGCUGGAGAGAUCUGUGUAAACAAUUUGGAUUCCGUUUUGUCGUAAUCGCAGAUCCCGCUGCUUCUCUCGAUCGAAAAGAAUCUGAAUCGAGAUUGAUUAGUGUUGGUGUGCUAUGAGUGUUAGUGUAUGAGCAAAAAUAAAAAAAAAAAUGAAGUUUUGGAGAGAACGUGAAAGGGAAAGCAAAGAGCAGAUCUUAGCUCCAUUAUGUGGCCAAGUUCGAGUCUUGGUCGUUGGUGAUUCAGGUAUAUUGAUCUAGUUAGGUUUUAUAGGAUGAUUCAGAUUGAUUGAUAGAUCAUUGUGGUUAGGAGUAAUGGUUGUGUGGUCGUUUAGUUAGUAUCUUAAAGCCAACAUUGUUUUCCUUACACUCUGUUAGUUACUUUCCGUGUUUGAUUUUUGCUUAUGAUGAGUCAUGGCUCAUGUUCAUGUUGAGUCUUGGUUGUUGGUGGAUUCAGGUAAAUCACAAGCUCUACCUUCAUGUAGGUUUCUUAGAUUAUAUGGAACCAAACCAAGUUAGUCGUUUACAAUGGGUUUUGUUAAGAUUGGUUUAUACUAUUUGGACACUCAUGCUAUACCUGAUCAUGUGUGGCUCAGGUAGAUAGAUCAUUGUGGUUAGGGGUAAUGAUUGUGUGCUCGUUGAGCUAUCUUUAGUCAACAUUGUUUUCCUUAGCGAGUGUUACUUACUGUGUUUGCUUUUGCUCAUGGCUCAUGUCAAUGGUUGAGCUCAAAAGUCUGAAAAUAUUCAUACUUUGCAUUAUUUGAGUUAAUUUUAAUCUUUUCGAAUCUCAAUUUUUUCUUUUUUUGGUUAGGUGUGGGGAAAACAUCACUUGUACACCUCAUUAAUAAAGGUUCUUCUAUUCAUCGUCCAUCUCAAACGAUUGGAUGCACAGUUGGUGUCAAGGUAACUUAAACCGUAUCUUAUGUUCUCAAAUUUUUUUUUGGGAGAUGAAGUUUUGAUUUUUCUUUCUCCUACUUUCCUGUUGUGUAGCAUAUAACUUACGGGAGUCCAGCUAGUUCUUCGAGUAGCAUUCAAGGGGAUGCAGAGAGAGAUUUCUUUGUUGAGCUCUGGGAUGUUUCAGGGCACGAGAGAUACAAAGAUUGCCGCUCACUCUUCUAUUCGCAAAUCAAUGGUCUCUCCUAAGUCAAUUAUGUAUCCAUGUUGUUUAUCCUUUUUUGUCUCUGAAACAAUGUCAUAAAGCGAGAAAUUUACAUAUUGCAGGAGUAAUAUUUGUUCAUGAUCUCUCUCAAAGAAGAACAAAAACAAGCUUGCAGAAAUGGGCGUCUGAGGUUGCAGCGACUGGAACUUUUUCAGCUCCUCUUCCCUCAGGAGGUCCUGGUGGUCUUCCUGUUCCGUACAUUGUUGUUGGAAACAAAGCAGACAUUGCUGCGAAAGAAGGAACAAAAGGAAGCAGCGGAAACCUUGUUGAUGCAGCUCGUCAUUGGGUCGAGAAGCAAGGUUUGCUUUCCUCAAGUGAAGAGCUUCCUCUCUUUGAAAGCUUUCCUGGUAAUAGUGGUCUCAUAGCGGUAAGUAAUCACUAGUUUCUGUUAAUCGAAUUCAGUGUUUGCUUUUUACUUAUAUGAUUUGGUGUCGGCGCAGGCAGCUAAAGAAACCAGAUACGAUAAGGAAGCUUUGAACAAAUUUUUCCGGAUGGUUAGUGUCAUUAAACACACCUUUCUUUAAGGUUACAUCUUCUCUAUACUGAUAAAACUAUUUUUUGUGGUUCUUUUAACAGUUGAUAAGAAGAAGAUAUUUCUCAGAUGAACAACCAGCAGCUUCACCGUGGUCUAUUUCGCCGCAUCGAACCUCAUCAUCCCAACGGUUAGAUGACGAGAUCACAAGCGAUGAUGACCAAUUCUACAAGCGAACAAGGUAUAAAACAACGCUAAAAGCAAAAGAUCUUUUAAAAGUUAGGUUUGGUCUUAACAGUUGAUUGUUGCAGUUUUCAUGGAGAUCCUUACAAGUACAACAACAACACGUUACCGCCACUUCCCGCACAACGCAACCUAACUCCGCCUCCUACACUAUUUCCACAGCAGCCGGUCUCUACUCCUGACAACUACGCUAUCCCGAGAUUCUCACUAUCGAGUGAAACAAGUAACAAUGGCAGUGGUAGAUCAAAGCGAAUGGAUAUUAACGUUUGAAACCAUGCAUCUCUUUAUCGUUACAAGAAAACUUAAUGAAGAUGUGUUGCUUUUGGUAUUUGAUGGUAUCUAUUAUUCUUUUUUUGAAUGUUCCAAUGGUUUUUCUUUUUAUUUCGAGAUGGAUGCAAGUGGUAAAGUGAAUAUGCGUGUAACCAAACCCUCUUUUGAUUGUUCUCGUAGCAAAUUCUGUCUGAAACAGAAUGAGAAAAAUUGUGAAUGAUUUAUAAUAAUACUUGUUGAUAAAUAUAAGUUGAAUUUACAAUCUAUUUGUUCGAUUUAUUAUCACCCAAAAUUGAUAUUAUUUACAAAAGAAAAUGUUUGAUUUAAUUCAGCUUUUGGUAAAUAUUAAAAAGGAAUAUUCACUCGUACAUUUUAACAGAGAUAGAGUAGAGAGAGAGAGAGAGAGAGUUGGACACGACAAGCUGUUCCUAACACCAGCGAGAGUCGCGAGAUAAAACAGCGAAGGUAUGUGACUUUGUGCCCUAAGAAUUACACUUUCCAUUGAAUCUUUCUUCUCUCAGAACCUUCUGGGUUGCUAAAUUCAGCUGAUAACCCUAAACCCUAUUCCGUAGUUCUGUACCCUUUGCUCAAUUUCGAAUUUGAUUGAAUUUUUUUAAAUUUAGUAUCAGAUUACAAUCUUCCUUUAAAGUGACAAGCUUUUCUUUAACUUUGUGUUCUUGAUUAAUUCCUGUAAUGCGCAGUGUGAUAUAAAUUUGAAGUCUUUAACAAGAAAAAUGGUGGAAGUGUGGUGGCCGUUGUUAGCAGCAGCAGUCCCUGCGCUUAUCGGAGGACAAGCACUGAGGAUAAAGAAGAGACGUGGCGAAGAAGAGAGGAUCAAGAGUGCUCGAGGAAGAGAGAAAAGCUCUGAUGAGAUCUUUGUCUGCGAAAGAGUUUGCACUUCCAAAAGAAUGCUGAAGAAAGUUGGAGCCUUCUCUAAAGAUCCUAUUCCCGACACUUGUGUUACUGUCUGUGGUGUAUCUGAGCUUGACGCUUGCUCCGAUGCUUGUGCUCGAACCGUCUGUGUGAACCAGCACCAAGUUGCUAACUGGAAUGACAUUUGUCUAAGGAGGUGUCAGAGUGAGUGUCUUAAGCUCUCUUCUUCUUCUUCUCGCUCUUCUUGAUAUGUUUUAAGAGUUUGAAUCUCUCUUUUGUGUUGUUUGAGUUUGAGUCUGAACGGUAUGAUUGGUUCCUUUUGAAUCUGAAUUUUUUUUUUGUAAGUUAAAUAACAUUAUGAGCAAAUCUUUGGUGGAUUACAUUUACAUUUCAUCAUGUGAGGUUUGUUUGGUAACUUUCUCAGCUGUUUUGUGAACUGCUUCUCCUAUGACACCUCCUGCUAGUUUUGCUGAUUCUUCAAUGGCUUCUUUGCUUACUUCAAGGCUCCUUGUAGCCGCUUCUUUCACUUUCUCUCCUUUGUCUUCUCCUUCUUUGUCCUUGUUGUUAUUGGCGCUGUUGCUUCUGAAACUGUCACAACAAAACGACACACAGAAGUUUAGUAAAACGGAUUUUGAAGAAAGGCCAAGAUCAUAGUGUAUGAAUGCUUGUUUGUUUACUCUAGAUUUGGAGGGUAAAGCUUCGUUUUAAUCUUCUGCAUUGCACCUUGAAUCAAUUCCCAAGAACUAGGAGGAAAUUUCUUGCCAAAGAUCCCACAUAUGAUCUUUACAAGUGACGGAUUCUCUUCUUUCUUGGCUACACCAUCAUCAUCUGAAGAUACCGGCAAAAUCCCCCUAGAGAUCAAGAAGAUGAUGAUGAUGAAGAAAUUAAAUCUGAUUCUUCUUGAUUCAUUCAUGACCUAUAUAUUAAUUCGUUAAGAAGCUUCAGAGAUAUCAAGAAAGGGACCAAAAGGAAAGUGAGAGAUGAGAGAAAGUUGACGCCACGUUUCUAGCAUCAAUAGAAGCAGAUCAGACUUGUGCUUUGAACGAUUCUUGCGUAACACUUGCAUUGACUUUAGAGAGAACUUGAUCGAAACCAAUCCAAUAUUUAAUUAGACAUUACAUAGAAAAAAGAUUCGUUUCUGUCUCGUAUAAGUUCGAACAAAACAAAAACACAAAAUUUUGAACAGCUUCCCUCAUCUAGACAACCUGUCUUGAAACCCUUGAAGAAGAUAGUUCCAUGGCACAUACCAUAUGUUUAUCCAUAUUCUUAGCUAUAAUCACUUCACCACAUCUUCUCAACCAAUCACUUCAUUUGAAGAAACUAGCAUGAUCAAGAUUCAUCGGCUUCUCAUACUGUACCGCUAUACACCCCUCAGCAACAACCCAAUCCCCAUUCACAGCCGUUGCACAGCUCUACAAACAGAGCCCAGGUGAUUUAAAAUAUAUUAUGUUCUUGAAGACUUUUAGUUAACUCAUUGGAAUAUAUGAGAAGAUCCCAUAAGAAUAAUAUGUACCUUGGAACAAGUAUAGACAAUAAGUGUCAUCCAAUCCCAGUUAUCCAACGAUUGCUUCAGCCCUUCAUCAACAACACCCUCAUGCAGAAAAUAUAUCAAAGGAGACAUGAGUUGCAUCUCAAAGACCAUCGGAGAGUCGCAAUGCCUGCAGUUCUCAGGAGACUUCAGGUCUUCCGUAGCCAGCAAUGGCGUACCUCCAUAUGAGUACCUGACCAUGAAGAGACAGUCAGACUAAAGCUCAAAAACCAUUCAGUAAAAGAUACGAGCCGAGCAACGAUUACCUGAAACAUUGCUCAGAGUUCGCAUCUAGUCGUUUUUUGAACUUAAGGUAAGUCCUAUCUGCAUUCAAGGCUUUGUCAUACUCAUACUUCUCAUCCUCCCAAGCUUCUUCAGCUUCACUCUCAUCGUUCUUGCUUGUUUCUUUAUCCUUAAUGGACAUAGACGAAUAACUCAUGGAGACACGUUCCACAUCUUUUGUUGAGACUUUCUCUUCCUUUGUGUAUAUGUAGAAGCAGGGAAGCACCGCACCAGUCUCGACUUUAACCUGAUCCACUGACUUCAAAGGUGAAGGCUUUGCUUUAGUCCCUGAGCUAGCAUUGCCACUUGGUUUGCUCUUUGGUUUCUUGGAGUUGGAUGCAACCGUAGUAGCAGCCUCCGCAAUGGCUUUAGCUAAACUCUCAAAAUCAAAAUCUUCAUCAUCAUCAUCAUCACCAUCAUCGUCUAACCAAUGAGUUUUGGAAGGUGUAUCCUUAGGUGAGGCAACGGGAAGAUCCUCUGAAUCAAUAGAUUCUUUCUCCUUUAUAGCUUUCUGAACGCUUAAAGCUCUCCAGCUGAAGCAAAACCAGAUGAAACACAAAGUUCAGACCUUUGAUCAUUCUUACAUAAUCAUAAAAAAAGAUAAAACCUUUGUUCAGAAGCUCCACAUUUAGGCAUCAAGCAACCGAAGAUAUAGAGAGUACGCUCUUCUUCAGUUGAGAUUGGGGAGUAAACCUGAGCUACAAGGGAGAGUUUACUUCCACAGGAACAGCAGUUUAGUAGCUCUGGUUUCAGUAUAUCAUCUGGUAAUGGUGGCCAGUCCUGGAAGCAAACUUAUGAUCAGUACACAGAAAGAUUUGAACUUUUAUGUGAAAGGAGUGAUGGAGAGAAGGAGUGUUACCGGAAGACCUCCGAUUUUAGUUGUGUAGUGAUCAGAAGACUCGAGCUCGUCUUCUGCCCACUGUCCAGGCAAACCCAGAAGAACUCCGACCAUGAUGAUAGCAGUUCUCCGACCAAAGCAGAACAGAGAGAUUAUUGGUGAAGUUUAGCUCUGUUUCGAAACAACAACGGUGAGGACGACGAAGCGAGAGGUGGGAGAGAAUAAAGCCAGUUAGGGUAAUUAGAAAACCGGUUUAAAUCGAACCAAUUGGUUUAAAUUGAAUUGAACGAUUUCAAUUGAACCAGUUGGUUUUAUGAUUCAUGCCACUACUAGACAGCACUCCAUUUAUGAGAUGGUAACGUUUCUUUAUUUCUAAACCUGCUCCAUAUACAUUCCAGUUACCACAAAAUAUUUGAUCAUGCUUGUUGACUGUAAUUAAUAAAAGAAUACUGACUUCUUCGUUUUUUUCAGUUCCGUCUCUUGGAAUGCAAGAUCCAAUGCAUGUGUUCUUUAAAAGUCAAUAAUUAAAAGACAACAAAGAAAAGUAAAAAGUUGUGAUUGUGGGAGAGGAGAUGGUUGAAGCUGACACUGCCAAAUUACCACUGUGUGGUUCAUAUAAAUCCUGGGAACGGAAGACACUUGUCACCGUUGCCACUAGUCAAAAUACAACACCAGCAGGCACGUAAACUGCUCUAUGGGUAUCAAUACGCCACCAAGUUUUAGGUUUUAUUCUCCUUUAAAUAUCGUUAGAAAAGCUGAAUGCAGUUUACAAUUUGUAUUAUAUUAAAUAUCUUGCUAUAACAUUGAAAACAAUCGCAUCUAUAAACUUAUUAAUAUGUAUCACGUACCGGCUGGCAACAUUAAACAUGAAGUUGUGUUAAUCGCCUCCAUGAUUUAUAUCUAACCAAACUAAGUCGUCCAUAUUUUUAUUAACUAAUUAUAGACUUUUGUUUUUUAAUAUGUACAUAUUCAGUAACGAUAGAUAGUCGGCUAGGUUUGAUUUUUAUAUAACAAACACACAUCUACUUAUCUUAAAAUAUGUUAUGGCUUUUCUUUCUUGUCAACAUGUUAUGGAAUUCUUUUAUAAAAUCGAGAAUCAGAUUAGAUCUGAAAUCAAAAAUCGUAUCCAUAUUCAAUAGCUAGACCAGCAAAACCACGUACGCGGUACGCUCACAGAAGAUAGAAGCAAAAGCUGACGCGGAUAAAGCGUGUGCAUGUCCCAGUGAAUGACAUUAUUAGUAAUUUGGUCACAAAUGCUUUAUCUUUUUUUCUGAUAGAAAAAUAUAAAAAGAACGUAAAAUAAAAUAUUUGAAUAUAUGUUGUGUAACAUUGUAUUCGUACCACCCAAUCUAGCUGUAAUUUUGCUCUAUUAAAUAUUGCAUACCUUCCUCAGUAGCUUUCUUUAUAUAUGUUCUCUCCAGUACAAUCUCCAUUGCUCCUAAUAUCAUAUUUUCAAGAAAACAAGAUACUGGAGGACUCUCUCUUCUCACUACAGCUUUGGUCGUAUGGAUGAUCUAAAGGAGGUUUAAAUCUCUCAGACCCUUCUUCUUAUUCUUCUGUUUUUCCUCCAGAGAAUAAAUUUUAGAGUUUUUUUUUGGUAAAAAUAAAUUUUAAAGUUGAAGUGAUCCAUGAUCAUUCACUUCUACAGAGUGAAUUUUACAUGUUUUUGAAUUAGUCUCUUAUAUAUCGAAACUAGUGAAACUUUUGAGAAUCAGAACAAACGAUUUUAAGGGGUUUUUUCUUUUGUUGGCAGAACAAGAACUCGCCAUGGCUAUCAGUACCACAGUUUGGAGACUGGGAUCAGAAAGGAGGAACCAUUUCUGACUACUCAAUGGAUUUCACAAAGAUCAGAGAGAUGAGGAAACAGAACAAGAGAGAUCCUUCUCGAGCCAGUCUUGGCAACGAAGAAGACCUCAUUAACCCUUUUCAUAACCAACCUACUACAGUUGAUAAUACUAAGCCUAAACUCACGACUGUUCACAGCGACAACAACAGAACGAAAACUGAGUUCUCUCACCACCAGCCACUUUCUCCAUCUGUAAG